RNAcentral lists this ribosomal RNA (505 nucleotides) under uncultured bacterium. RNAcentral describes it as "partial 16S ribosomal RNA". It matches the Rfam family "Bacterial small subunit ribosomal RNA", at positions 38 to 536 of the family's 1533-position model. The record is from RNAcentral.
GACGAACGCUGGCGGCGUGCUUAACACAUGCAAGUCGAACGGAAAGGCCCUGCUUGCAGGGUACUCGAGUGGCGAACGGGUGAGUAACACGUGGGUGAUCUGCCCUGCACUUCGGGAUAAGCCUGGGAAACUGGGUCUAAUACCGGAUAGGAGCCAUUUUUAGUGUGAUGGUUGGAAAGUUUUUUCGGUGUAGGAUGAGCUCGCGGCCUAUCAGCUUGUUGGUGGGGUAAUGGCCUACCAAGGCGGCGACGGGUAGCCGGCCUGAGAGGGUGGACGGCCAGAUGGUAGUCGAGACACGGCCCAGCCUCCGUCGGGAGGCGGCUGGGGGAGUGAGUGAGCGAUGGGCGCGAGCGUGGGGCAGCGGCGCGGGGUGGUGGAGCUGCGCCGUCGGUUUUUAACCUCCGUCCGGGCGGGGCGAGGCUUUGUGUGCCGUUACCGAGACAAGACGCCCCGGCCAACUGCCGGCCCGCGGCCGCGGUAUUCGGUCGAGGAGCAUCGCCUCCCC